Non-coding RNA from Pimephales promelas (fathead minnow), 603 nucleotides. NCBI's taxonomy places the organism in Eukaryota, Metazoa, Chordata, Actinopteri, Cypriniformes, Leuciscidae. The record is from RefSeq and is a predicted model, not a curated record.
UUCAUGGGAUGGUGUUGUGCAGCCCCGCCCCAGGUGUAGCCCCGCCCUGAUCUGCAGGCUGCAGCCAGGUAUACUUGAGAUCUGCGCGCUCCCGGAGCGCUUCUUCAGCAGUUUUCCGGCUCUGCUCUGGUUGGAUGUGAGGAAUAAUCAGAUCUCAGCUCUUCCAGCCGCUGUCGGACAGCACAUGGAAUCUGACGUCACUGAAGGCUUUGAGUCUGAGGAUCUGCCCGCUCUCUUUCCCUCCUCGGGACGUUCUGGACCAACCGAAGAUCCUACAUCACCUGCGAUGUGCUCAACUAGGUGAAGGAACGAUGCUGAGAUCUUAAUGAGGCCGUGGAUGAAAAUGAUCAGCAGGAACACUGAAGCUGAUUACAGGAUUCUCCAACUUCAGUUUUCAUUUCUAUUUACUUUCCUGUUUACUGUUUUAAUCUCAAACUUUUAAUUUAAUUUAGUAGAUCAAUAAAAAAAAUCUGUCAUAACUUCGAUUUAAAAUGUCAUAAUUUUGACUUUCUUUCAUAAUUCUGACUUUCAUAAUUUCAACAUUGUGUCAUACUUUUGAUUCAGUGGCAUACUUUUAACUUUAAAUCUCAUUAUUUUAAUUUA